UGGGGAAUAUUGCACAAUGGGCGAAAGCCUGAUGCAGCAACGCCGCGUGAGUGAUGAAGGUCUUCGGAUUGUAAAGCUCUGUCUUUUGGGACGAUAAUGACGGUACCAAAGGAGGAAGCCACGGCUAACUACGUGCCAGCAGCCGCGGUAAUACGUAGGUGGCGAGCGUUGUCCGGAUUUACUGGGCGUAAAGGGUGCGUAGGCGGAUGUUUAAGUGAGAUGUGAAAUACCCGGGCUUAACUUGGGUGCUGCAUUUCAAACUGGAUAUCUAGAGUGCAGGAGAGGAGAAUGGAAUUCCUAGUGUAGCGGUGAAAUGCGUAGAGAUUAGGAAGAACACCAGUGGCGAAGGCGAUUCUCUGGACUGUAACUGACGCUGAGGCACGAAAGCGUGGGUAGCAAACAGGAUUAGAUACCCUGGUAGUCCACGCCGUAAACGAUGAGUGCUAGGUGUAGGAGGUAUCGACCCCUUCUGUGCCGCAGUAAACACAUUAAGUAC
This 496-nucleotide ribosomal RNA is filed under the name uncultured bacterium. Its description in RNAcentral is "partial 16S ribosomal RNA". It matches the Rfam family "Bacterial small subunit ribosomal RNA", at positions 355 to 867 of the family's 1533-position model. The record is from RNAcentral.